Molecule: unclassified non-coding RNA, 392 nt
Filed under: Proteus mirabilis
Lineage: Bacteria; Pseudomonadati; Pseudomonadota; Gammaproteobacteria; Enterobacterales; Morganellaceae
Description: partial 16S-23S ribosomal RNA intergenic spacer
Rfam family: tRNA (bases 85-157)
Source: RNAcentral
CCUAAGAGAUACGUGUUAUGUGCAGUGCUCACACAGAUUGUCUGAUGAAGAACGAGCAAAAGCGCGUCUGCGAAGCUGACAAAAGUCCCCUUCGUCUAGAGGCCUAGGACACCGCCCUUUCACGGCGGUAACAGGGGUUCGAAUCCCCUAGGGGACGCCAAUGCGCGGUAUGAGUGAAAGGCGUACCACUUAUCUGACGAAAGUCAGAGAAUAAUUAAGCUAAUUCAAAUGAGUUAUCUUACUUAUUAUGCUCUUUAACAAUCUGGAACAAGCUGAAAAAUUGAAAACAAAUCAAUAUAUCACCGAGGUAUAUUGAUGAGUCUCUCAAAAUCUCAAACCUUAAAGUUUGUCACGCAAAGUUUAUCUUUGAAAAAGACACUUUCGGGUUGUGA